This 498-nucleotide ribosomal RNA is filed under the name uncultured bacterium. RNAcentral's name for it is "bacterial SSU rRNA". It matches the Rfam family "Bacterial small subunit ribosomal RNA", at positions 36 to 518 of the family's 1533-position model. The record is from RNAcentral.
CUGGCGGCAUGCCUAAUACAUGCAAGUCGAGCGAAUGAUGAGAAGCUUGCUCUCUGAUUAGCGGCGGACGGGUGAGUAACACGUGGGCAACCUACCCUAUAGAUUGGGAUAACACAGGGAAACCUGUGCUAAUACCGAAUAAUACAUUUUCUUUCAUGAGAAGAUGUUGAAAGAUGGUUUCGGCUAUCACUAUAGGAUGGGCCCGCGGCGCAUUAGCUAGUUGGUGAGGUAAUGGCUCACCAAGGCAACGAUGCGUAGCCGACCUGAGAGGGUGAUCGGCCACACUGGGACUGAGACACGGCCCAGACUCCUACGGGAGGCAGCAGUAGGGAAUCUUCCACAAUGGGCGAAAGCCUGAUGGAGCAAUGCCCGCGUGAGUGAUGAAGGAUUUCGGUUCGUAAAACUCUGUUGUAAGGGAAGAACAAGUAGCGUAGUAACUGGCGUUACCUUGACGGUACCUUAUUAGAAAGCCACGGCUAACUACGUGCCAGCCGCGGC